Sinocyclocheilus grahami is the source of this 822-nucleotide long non-coding RNA. Lineage: Eukaryota; Metazoa; Chordata; Actinopteri; Cypriniformes; Cyprinidae. The record is from Ensembl.
ACAGUCGGAUACUGACAGAGAUUGAGACACUGAGACAAGAGAAGGACUUCACCGUCCACACCAUCGCAGUCAACUGCCAUGACAGGUUAACCUGCAUUGGAUAUGAAUGUGGCCACUUGUAUCGAUCCUUCGUCAAGAUUAUUUUGUAUUUAUUCUGGCAUUUUUUUGUUUGGUCCCAUCACAGAAAAUCUAACUUUAGCAGCAUAUGUUAUAUGUUUAAUUGCAAUCGUUGCAGUGAGUUUCUGAAGAGUUUGGCCCAUAAAACAGGAGGACGAUUCCAUCAGGCUCCUGAAAACACAGAUAGAGCUCUUAUCAGAAAACUCCUGUCAGAUCCGUGCAGUGUGGACCCAGUGCUUCCAAAAUGUGAGGGGGAUGAUCUAAGGAAACUAUCCGAAGAGAUCGAGAAGCUGAGAUUGUUCCAGAAACAAGCUAAAGCGUUCAGGGAAACUAGUUUGGAGUCGAGGAACCAGACGGGAACAUAGACAUUGAUGUCCACGCUUGUUCAAAUCACGACAGCUUUAUUGAUUCAAAAAUAUCUCUGGCAAAGGCCUAAUGUAAAAGAAUUUGUUAAAAAUUAAAUAUGGCUUAAUAAUACUUUGGAAACAUCGUAAAUAGAUAUAAAAAUCAUGGUUAAAAGAAAAAACCUUGAAAUUUUAUGUGUAGCAUUAACUCCUUAGCAUUCUGGGAAAAUGUAACUAAGCACAAAAUUGGAACGCUAACAGGUUAAAUGUUUUUUUUGAAAUUUUUUUGUACAUGAAAUUGUACUUCAUGAGCAACAAAAAAAAAAGUGUAAAAACAAAUGUAUUGUCAAUGUAAUGUAGC